Molecule: ribosomal RNA, 1387 nt
Filed under: Streptomyces chrestomyceticus JCM 4735
Lineage: Bacteria; Bacillati; Actinomycetota; Actinomycetes; Kitasatosporales; Streptomycetaceae
Description: bacterial LSU rRNA
Rfam family: Bacterial large subunit ribosomal RNA
Source: RNAcentral
UGAGACCUGAUGCCGAGCCGAUUGUGGUGAAGUGGAUGAUCCUAUGCUGUCGAGAAAAGCCUCUAGCGAGUUUCAUGGCGGCCCGUACCCUAAACCGACUCAGGUGGUCAGGUAGAGAAUACCGAGGCGUUCGGGUGAACUAUGGUUAAGGAACUCGGCAAAAUGCCCCCGUAACUUCGGGAGAAGGGGGGCCAUUGCUGGUGAUGAGUCUUGCACUCUGAGCUGGUGGUGGCCGCAGAGACCAGCGAGAAGCGACUGUUUACUAAAAACACAGGUCCGUGCGAAGCCGUAAGGCGAUGUAUACGGACUGACGCCUGCCCGGUGCUGGAACGUUAAGGGGACCGGUUAGCUCAUUUCGGUGGGGCGAAGCUGAGAACUUAAGCGCCAGUAAACGGCGGUGGUAACUAUAACCAUCCUAAGGUAGCGAAAUUCCUUGUCGGGUAAGUUCCGACCUGCACGAAUGGCGUAACGACUUCUCGACUGUCUCAACCAUAGGCCCGGUGAAAUUGCACUACGAGUAAAGAUGCUCGUUUCGCGCAGCAGGACGGAAAGACCCCGGGACCUUUACUAUAGCUUGAUAUUGGUGUUCGGUUCGGCUUGUGUAGGAUAGGUGGGAGACUGUGAACUCGUCACGCCAGUGGCGGGGGAGUCGUUGUUGAAAUACCACUCUGGUCGUGCUGGAUGUCUAACCUGGGUCCGUGAUCCGGAUCAGGGACAGUGUCUGGUGGGUAGUUUAACUGGGGCGGUUGCCUCCUAAAGAGUAACGGAGGCGCCCAAAGGUUCCCUCAGCCUGGUUGGCAAUCAGGUGUUGAGUGUAAGUGCACAAGGGAGCUUGACUGUGAGACUGACGGGUCGAGCAGGUACGAAAGUAGGGACUAGUGAUCCGGCGGUGGCUUGUGGAAGCGCCGUCGCUCAACGGAUAAAAGGUACCCCGGGGAUAACAGGCUGAUCUUCCCCAAGAGUCCAUAUCGACGAUGGUUUGGCACCUCGAUGUCGGCUCGUCGCAUCCUGGGGCUGGAGUCGGUCCCAAGGGUUGGGCUGUUCGCCCAUUAAAGCGGUACGCGAGCUGGGUUUAGAACGUCGUGAGACAGUUCGGUCCCUAUCCGCUGUGCGCGUAGGAGUCUUGAGAAGGGCUGUCCCUAGUACGAGAGGACCGGGACGGACGAACCUCUGGUGUGCCAGUUGUCCUGCCAAGGGCAUGGCUGGUUGGCUACGUUCGGAAAGGAUAACCGCUGAAAGCAUCUAAGCGGGAAGCCUGCUUCGAGAUGAGGGCUCCCUCCUCCUUGAGAGGGUAAGGCUCCCAGUAGACGACUGGGUUGAUAGGCCAGAUAUGGAAGCCUGGUAACGGGUGGAGUUGACUGGUACUAAUAGGCCGAGGGCUUGUCCU